CAACAAGUAUUUUAUAUUAGAAUAUUAAUUUUGGGGAUUAAAGGUGGAGGUAUCUUUCUUGUUGA
This 65-nucleotide transfer RNA is filed under the name Embiophila sp. RNAcentral's name for it is "tRNA-Pro". Lineage: Eukaryota; Metazoa; Arthropoda; Insecta; Hemiptera; Plokiophilidae. The record is from RNAcentral.